UUAAGCGACUAAGCGUACACGGUGGAUGCCCUGGCAGUCAGAGGCGAUGAAGGACGUGCUAAUCUGCGAUAAGCGUCGGUAAGGUGAUAUGAACCGUUAUAACCGGCGAUUUCCGAAUGGGGAAACCCAGUGUGAUUCGUCACACUAUCAUUAACUGAAUCCAUAGGUUAAUGAGGCGAACCGGGGGAACUGAAACAUCUAAGUACCCCGAGGAAAAGAAAUCAACCGAGAUUCCCCCAGUAGCGGCGAGCGAACGGGGAGCAGCCCAGAGCCUGAAUCAGUGUGUGUGUUAGUGGAAGCGUCUGGAAAGGCGCGCGAUACAGGGUGACAGCCCCGUACACAAAAAUGCACAUGCUGUGAGCUCGAUGAGUAGGGCGGGACACGUGGUAUCCUGUCUGAAUAUGGGGGGACCAUCCUCCAAGGCUAAAUACUCCUGACUGACCGAUAGUGAACCAGUACCGUGAGGGAAAGGCGAAAAGAACCCCGGCGAGGGGAGUGAAAAAGAACCUGAAACCGUGUACGUACAAGCAGUGGGAGCACGCUUAGGCGUGUGACUGCGUACCUUUUGUAUAAUGGGUCAGCGACUUAUAUUCUGUAGCAAGGUUAACCGAAUAGGGGAGCCGAAGGGAAACCGAGUCUUAACUGGGCGUUAAGUUGCAGGGUAUAGACCCGAAACCCGGUGAUCUAGCCAUGGGCAGGUUGAAGGUUGGGUAACACUAACUGGAGGACCGAACCGACUAAUGUUGAAAAAUUAGCGGAUGACUUGUGGCUGGGGGUGAAAGGCCAAUCAAACCGGGAGAUAGCUGGUUCUCCCCGAAAGCUAUUUAGGUAGCGCCUCGUGAAUUCAUCUCCGGGGGUAGAGCACUGUUUCGGCAAGGGGGUCAUCCCGACUUACCAACCCGAUGCAAACUGCGAAUACCGGAGAAUGUUAUCACGGGAGACACACGGCGGGUGCUAACGUCCGUCGUGAAGAGGGAAACAACCCAGACCGCCAGCUAAGGUCCCAAAGUCAUGGUUAAGUGGGAAACGAUGUGGGAAGGCCCAGACAGCCAGGAUGUUGGCUUAGAAGCAGCCAUCAUUUAAAGAAAGCGUAAUAGCUCACUGGUCGAGUCGGCCUGCGCGGAAGAUGUAACGGGGCUAAACCAUGCACCGAAGCUGCGGCAGCGACGCUUAUGCGUUGUUGGGUAGGGGAGCGUUCUGUAAGCCUGUGAAGGUGUACUGUGAGGUAUGCUGGAGGUAUCAGAAGUGCGAAUGCUGACAUAAGUAACGAUAAAGCGGGUGAAAAGCCCGCUCGCCGGAAGACCAAGGGUUCCUGUCCAACGUUAAUCGGGGCAGGGUGAGUCGACCCCUAAGGCGAGGCCGAAAGGCGUAGUCGAUGGGAAACAGGUUAAUAUUCCUGUACUUGGUGUUACUGCGAAGGGGGGACGGAGAAGGCUAUGUUGGCCGGGCGACGGUUGUCCCGGUUUAAGCGUGUAGGCUGGUUUUCCAGGCAAAUCCGGAAAAUCAAGGCUGAGGCGUGAUGACGAGGCACUACGGUGCUGAAGCAACAAAUGCCCUGCUUCCAGGAAAAGCCUCUAAGCAUCAGGUAACAUCAAAUCGUACCCCAAACCGACACAGGUGGUCAGGUAGAGAAUACCAAGGCGCUUGAGAGAACUCGGGUGAAGGAACUAGGCAAAAUGGUGCCGUAACUUCGGGAGAAGGCACGCUGAUAUGUAGGUGAAGUCCCUCGCGGAUGGAGCUGAAAUCAGUCGAAGAUACCAGCUGGCUGCAACUGUUUAUUAAAAACACAGCACUGUGCAAACACGAAAGUGGACGUAUACGGUGUGACGCCUGCCCGGUGCCGGAAGGUUAAUUGAUGGGGUUAGCGCAAGCGAAGCUCUUGAUCGAAGCCCCGGUAAACGGCGGCCGUAACUAUAACGGUCCUAAGGUAGCGAAAUUCCUUGUCGGGUAAGUUCCGACCUGCACGAAUGGCGUAAUGAUGGCCAGGCUGUCUCCACCCGAGACUCAGUGAAAUUGAACUCGCUGUGAAGAUGCAGUGUACCCGCGGCAAGACGGAAAGACCCCGUGAACCUUUACUAUAGCUUGACACUGAACAUUGAGCCUUGAUGUGUAGGAUAGGUGGGAGGCUUUGAAGUGUGGACGCCAGUCUGCAUGGAGCCGGCCUUGAAAUACCACCCUUUAAUGUUUGAUGUUCUAACGUUGACCCGUGAUCCGGGUUGCGGACAGUGUCUGGUGGGUAGUUUGACUGGGGCGGUCUCCUCCUAAAGAGUAACGGAGGAGCACGAAGGUUGGCUAAUCCUGGUCGGACAUCAGGAGGUUAGUGCAAUGGCAUAAGCCAGCUUGACUGCGAGCGUGACGGCGCGAGCAGGUGCGAAAGCAGGUCAUAGUGAUCCGGUGGUUCUGAAUGGAAGGGCCAUCGCUCAACGGAUAAAAGGUACUCCGGGGAUAACAGGCUGAUACCGCCCAAGAGUUCAUAUCGACGGCGGUGUUUGGCACCUCGAUGUCGGCUCAUCACAUCCUGGGGCUGAAGUAGGUCCCAAGGGUAUGGCUGUUCGCCAUUUAAAGUGGUACGCGAGCUGGGUUUAGAACGUCGUGAGACAGUUCGGUCCCUAUCUGCCGUGGGCGCUGGAGAACUGAGGGGGGCUGCUCCUAGUACGAGAGGACCGGAGUGGACGCAUCACUGGUGUUCGGGUUGUCAUGCCAAUGGCACUGCCCGGUAGCUAAAUGCGGAAGAGAUAAGUGCUGAAAGCAUCUAAGCACGAAACUUGCCCCGAGAUGAGUUCUCCCUGACUCCUUGAGAGUCCUGAAGGAACGUUGAAGACGACGACGUUGAUAGGCCGGGUGUGUAAGCGCAGCGAUGCGUUGAGCUAACCGGUACUAAUGAACCGUGAGGCUUAACCUU
Molecule: ribosomal RNA, 2902 nt
Filed under: Escherichia coli
Lineage: Bacteria; Pseudomonadati; Pseudomonadota; Gammaproteobacteria; Enterobacterales; Enterobacteriaceae
Description: bacterial LSU rRNA
Rfam family: Bacterial large subunit ribosomal RNA
Source: RNAcentral